CCGCUCUUAGCUCAGUAGGAUAGAGCAAUUGCCUUCUAAGCAAUCGGUCGCUGGUUCGAGCCCAGCAGAGCGGACC
This 76-nucleotide transfer RNA is filed under the name Klebsiella phage N1M2. RNAcentral describes it as "tRNA-Arg". It matches the Rfam family "tRNA". From Rfam's summary of the family: Transfer RNA (tRNA) molecules are approximately 80 nucleotides in length. Their secondary structure includes four short double-helical elements and three loops (D, anti-codon, and T loops). Further hydrogen bonds mediate the characteristic L-shaped molecular structure. tRNAs have two regions of fundamental functional importance: the anti-codon, which is responsible for specific mRNA codon recognition, and the 3' end, to which the tRNAs corresponding amino acid is attached (by aminoacyl-tRNA synthetases). tRNAs cope with the degeneracy of the genetic code in two manners: having more than one tRNA (with a specific anti-codon) for a particular amino acid; and 'wobble' base-pairing, i.e. permitting non-standard base-pairing at the 3rd anti-codon position. The record is from RNAcentral. Lineage: Duplodnaviria; Heunggongvirae; Uroviricota; Caudoviricetes; Chimalliviridae.